AGGGUUCGAUUCUGGCUCGGAACGAACGCUGGCGGCGCGUCUUAAGCAUGCAAGUCGAACGGGAUCCACGCGCUUGCGCGUGGUGAGAGUGGCGGACUGGUGAGUAACGCGUAGGUGACGUACCCUCCGGACGGGGAUAGCCCUUAGAAAUAAGGGGGUAAUACCGGAUACGGUUCCGUGUGUCAGAGAUACGGAAGGAAAGGAGCUUCGGCUCCGCCGGGGGAUCGGCCUGCGUCCCAUCAGCCAGUUGGCGGGGUAACGGCCCACCAAGGCAAUGACGGGUAUCCGGCCUAAGAGGGUGAACGGACACAUUGGGACUGAGAUACGGCCCAGACUCCUACGGGAGGCAGCAGCUAAGAAUAUUCCGCAAUGGGGGAAACCCUGACGGAGCGACGCCGCGUGGACGAUGAAGGCCGGAAGGUUGUAAAGUCCUUUAGUCUGUGAGGAAUAACGCCGGAGGGAAUGCCGGCGGAUGACUGUAGCAGAAGAAUAAGCACCGGCUAAUUACGUGCCAGCCGCAGC
Molecule: ribosomal RNA, 522 nt
Filed under: uncultured bacterium
Lineage: Bacteria
Description: bacterial SSU rRNA
Rfam family: Bacterial small subunit ribosomal RNA
Source: RNAcentral